AUUGAACGCUGGCGGCAUGCCUUACACAUGCAAGUCGAACGGCAGCACGGGAGCAAUCCUGGUGGCGAGUGGCGAACGGGUGAGUAAUAUAUCGGAACGUGCCCAGUCGUGGGGAUAACGUAGCGAAAGCUACGCUAAUACCGCAUACGAUCUAUGGAUGAAAGCGGGGGAUCGCAAGACCUCGCGCGAUUGGAGCGGCCGAUAUCAGAUUAGGUAGUUGGUGAGGUAAAGGCUCACCAAGCCGACGAUCUGUAGCUGGUCUGAGAGGACGACCAGCCACACUGGGACUGAGACACGGCCCAGACUCCUACGGGAGGCAGCAGUGGGGAAUUUUGGACAAUGGGCGAAAGCCUGAUCCAGCAAUGCCGCGUGCAGGAAGAAGGCCUUCGGUU
RNAcentral lists this ribosomal RNA (392 nucleotides) under uncultured bacterium. RNAcentral describes it as "bacterial SSU rRNA". It matches the Rfam family "Bacterial small subunit ribosomal RNA", at positions 30 to 423 of the family's 1533-position model. The record is from RNAcentral.